GCUAUAAAUACCAUUGCUCACCUUUGUUGCAUAUUCACCAAGACAUGGCUGGUACAAAAGUUGGAGUAAUCACUCUCCUGCUUUGCGCAACAAUUCUACUUGGAUUGAAGCCGGAACAUGCAAGCGCAAAAGUAUGCCCAUUCUUCUGCUACGCAGAAGUAGCUUAUAUGACUUGCCCACCUGCACCUUACAAGAAACUUGGCCCAGUGUGCAACUGUUGCUUGGCCAAACCAGGUUGCAAGCUUUUUCGGGCUGAUGGGACUGUGAUCUGUACUGCAAGCUGAUAAGCCUUUGAUAAUAAAUGGCCUCAAGAGCUUCUAGAAAUGGGCUGCAAUCUUGUGAUCCCUUAAAAUUUUGCAAUAAAUCGGGUCAUUGAUCUAUGUUCUGUUUAUUACUGUUUUAUUACAUAUAUUAAAAGUUUUUAAGCAUACAUCCAAUUUUGAAAGUAUGUUAAUCAAUGAAAGUUGCAUAAUUUAUACAAGAAUGUGAUCCUAUUCAAUAC
Molecule: long non-coding RNA, 502 nt
Organism: Coffea arabica (coffee)
Lineage: Eukaryota; Viridiplantae; Streptophyta; Magnoliopsida; Gentianales; Rubiaceae
Source: RefSeq, a predicted model, not a curated record